AGUGAACGCUGGCGGUAGGCCUAACACAUGCAAGUCGAACGGCAGCACAGUAAGAGCUUGCUCUUACGGGUGGCGAGUGGCGGACGGGUGAGGAAUACAUCGGAAUCUACUUUUUCGUGGGGGAUAACGUAGGGAAACUUACGCUAAUACCGCAUACGACCUACGGGUGAAAGCAGGGGAUCUUCGGACCUUGCGCGAUUGAAUGAGCCGAUGUCGGAUUAGCUAGUUGGCGGGGUAAAGGCCCACCAAGGCGACGAUCCGUAGCUGGUCUGAGAGGAUGAUCAGCCACACUGGAACUGAGACACGGUCCAGACCCCUACGGGAGGCAGCAGUGGGGAAUAUUGGACAAUGGGCGCAAGCCUGAUCCAGCCAUACCGCGUGGGUGAAGAAGGCCUUCGGGUUGUAAAGCCCUUUUGUUGGGAAAGAAAAGCAGCAGGUUAAUACCCCGCUGUUCUGACGGUACCCAAAGAAUAAGCACCGGCUAACUUCAUG
This 492-nucleotide ribosomal RNA is filed under the name uncultured bacterium. Its description in RNAcentral is "partial 16S ribosomal RNA". It matches the Rfam family "Bacterial small subunit ribosomal RNA", at positions 29 to 507 of the family's 1533-position model. The record is from RNAcentral.